Paenibacillus sp. FSL R5-0912 is the source of this 69-nucleotide regulatory RNA element. It matches the Rfam family "2dG-II purine riboswitch aptamer". From Rfam's summary of the family: Purine riboswitch variant that recognize 2'-deoxyguanosine Lineage: Bacteria; Bacillati; Bacillota; Bacilli; Caryophanales; Paenibacillaceae. The record is from Rfam.
UAUUCGUAUAAUUCCGGGGAUUGGCCCGGAAGUCUCUACGAGGUCACCGUAAUGACCUGGCUACGAUUA